UACGUAGGGUGCGAGCGUUAAUCGGAUUUACUGGGCGUAAAGCGUGCGCAGGCGGCCCGUUAAGACAGGUGUGAAAUCCCUGGGCUCAACCUAGGAAUUGCGCUUGUGACUGGCGGGCUCGAGUACGGUAGAGGAGGGCGGAAUUCCCGGUGUAGCGGUGAAAUGCGUAGAUAUCGGGAGGAAGGCCGGUGGCGAAGGCAGCCCCCUGGGCCUGUACUGACGCUCAUGCACGAAAGCGUGGGGAGCAAACAGG
This 253-nucleotide ribosomal RNA is filed under the name uncultured microorganism. Its description in RNAcentral is "partial 16S ribosomal RNA". It matches the Rfam family "Bacterial small subunit ribosomal RNA", at positions 524 to 776 of the family's 1533-position model. The record is from RNAcentral.